This 254-nucleotide ribosomal RNA is filed under the name uncultured bacterium. Its description in RNAcentral is "partial 16S ribosomal RNA". It matches the Rfam family "Bacterial small subunit ribosomal RNA", at positions 524 to 776 of the family's 1533-position model. The record is from RNAcentral.
UACGGGGGGAGCAAGCGUUGUUCGGAUUUACUGGGCGUAAAGGGCGCGUAGGCGGUCGUGACAAGUCACUUGUGAAAUCUCCGGGCUUAACUCGGAACGGUCAAGUGAUACUGUCGGACUAGAGUACAGAAGGGGCAACUGGAAUUCUCGGUGUAGCGGUGAAAUGCGCAGAUAUCAGGAGGAACACCAAUAGCGAAGGCAGCUCGCUGGGACGUUACUGACACUGAGGCGCGAAAGCGUGGGGAGCGAACAGG